UGGCGGACGGGUGAGUAAUGUCUGGGAAACUGCCUGAUGGAGGGGGAUAACUACUGGAAACGGUAGCUAAUACCGCAUAACGUCGCAAGACCAAAGAGGGGGACCUUCGGGCCUCUUGCCAUCGGAUGUGCCCAGAUGGGAUUAGCUUGUUGGUGGGGUAAUGGCUCACCAAGGCGACGAUCCCUAGCUGGUCUGAGAGGAUGACCAGCCACACUGGAACUGAGACACGGUCCAGACUCCUACGGGAGGCAGCAUG
RNAcentral lists this ribosomal RNA (256 nucleotides) under uncultured bacterium. RNAcentral describes it as "partial 16S ribosomal RNA". It matches the Rfam family "Bacterial small subunit ribosomal RNA", at positions 96 to 353 of the family's 1533-position model. The record is from RNAcentral.